GGUUUUUUUUUUCCUUUUUC
RNAcentral lists this microRNA (20 nucleotides) under Corchorus capsularis. RNAcentral describes it as "sRNA CCACVL1_26609". The record is from RNAcentral. Lineage: Eukaryota; Viridiplantae; Streptophyta; Magnoliopsida; Malvales; Malvaceae.